This 79-nucleotide small RNA is filed under the name Flavobacterium sp. 5. Its description in RNAcentral is "Flavo-1 RNA". It matches the Rfam family "Flavo-1 RNA". Lineage: Bacteria; Pseudomonadati; Bacteroidota; Flavobacteriia; Flavobacteriales; Flavobacteriaceae. The record is from RNAcentral.
CCCUAGCCCUGAUAGUAGUGAAAAUCCUUUUUGAGGCUUUUUUGCCGAAAAAAGAUUGAAACGGAUAGCAGGAUAAAGC